Molecule: ribosomal RNA, 484 nt
Filed under: uncultured bacterium
Lineage: Bacteria
Description: partial 16S ribosomal RNA
Rfam family: Bacterial small subunit ribosomal RNA
Source: RNAcentral
AUUGAACGCUGGCGGCAGGCCUAACACAUGCAAGUCGAGCGGAUGAAGGGAGCUUGCUCCUGGAUUCAGCGGCGGACGGGUGAGUAAUGCCUAGGAAUCUGCCUGGUAGUGGGGGAUAACGUCCGGAAACGGGCGCUAAUACCGCAUACGUCCUGAGGGAGAAAGUGGAGGAUCUUCGGACCUCACGCUAUCAGAUGAGCCUAGGUCGGAUUAGCUAGUUGGUGGGGUAAAGGCCUACCAAGGCGACGAUCCGUAACUGGUCUGAGAGGAUGAUCAGUCACACUGGAACUGAGACACGGUCCAGACUCCUACGGGAGGCAGCAGUGGGGAAUAUUGGACAAUGGGCGAAAGCCUGGUCCAGCCAUGCCGCGUGUGUGAAGAAGGUCUUCGGAUUGUAAAGCACUUUAAGUUGGGAGGAAGGGCAGUAAGUUAAUACCUUGCUGUUUUGACGUUACCAACAGAAUAAGCACCGGCUAACUUCGUG